UUCUGUUUUAAUAUCAUCAGCCUCUUAUAAUAUUUUGUCUAUUUGAAAUGAGCUGUGUUCCUGGUCCCAGGGUAGUCUGGAGCUGAGGGACAGGACUCUUUCAUGGUUUGAAAAUUCUUUCUAGCUCAUUUGGAGGAAAUCUAAGAUGUUAUGACUUCCAGCUCUAGGGAACUGUCUCAAGAAGGAGUAUUUGGUCUGUGACUGGUGGAGGCUGAUGGUGGCUUCAACUCUGAAAUCCUCUGGGCAACACCAAUCCUUCUGACCAUGGGAUAAUGUGAUAACUAAGAACAACGCGCUUGCAUAUUGGUGACACAUGUUGGCUUGACCCAGUUGAGAGUGCUGAGUGGCAGGGAUGGGAGACCUUCCUGGCUGCUGAUGGGGAGAAAAGGAGGUUUCUGGACAUUCCUUCCACAUCCUGGCAAGGCUGAGUUAUCCUGACUGUGGCACAGACAUUUAACAACACUUGGAGCCAUUGGAUUCACAUGGAGUAGCUGCAAACUUUAUCUGCUGUACUUGUGUUCCCCCACUAGAAAUGAGGAAAAAGAAAAUAAGAAUGAAGUUAUUUGCAUUGCUCUUGUCCGUGAGUGGAAAAGCUCAGGAUCAGGGACUCAGAUGUCGUGUCCUAUAUGGAAAGAAGAUAUUGGAGCAGUCUGGGGUAUCUUUGCAAGAUCAGUGAGAGAUCUGGACUGUCUCUACAAAGCUCUGUGAGGCACGGCUUUUCCAGGGAAGGAGGGAAAUCCAGCCUGUAAGUGGGAGAUAAGAGGCUGAUGUGCAUACCCAGACAUUUUUAACUUGGAUAUUUCUAUUGUCAAGAAUAGCAAAAUAUAAGAAUGCUGGGAAAGUUUUCUGAGCCUGCUUCAGUGGGAAAAAAAACAUUAUUCUGUGAAGUGAAAAAUGCAUCAGGAAGCGAAAUCAAUAUUUGUAAAGCAAACAUGGAAUGUUCUCGGGGGAAAAAACCCAAACCAGAACAAAUAACCAAAGAAAAACCCAACCCAACUAAAAACAACAACAAAAAAGGCUCCCAAACCACCACCAAAACCAAACGACAAAAAUUCCUCUCGAGUCCUAAUGAGCAUCAAAAGACUUCUCUGAAAGAGAUUGAUUAAACCGUCUAAAAUGAGAGACUUCAGACUAUCCAAGCAAAAUGCCUGGAAUUUUAAAGGGGCAGGCAGGGGGCCAGUCCAGUGAUGCCUCUGCAGGAUUUUCCCUGGCUUGGUCAGAGCAUUUCUCACAUUAAGAAGAUGCCCAGAAACUCCAAAAUUUCCAGGCACAGCACCAAAGGCACUUUAGAAUGCAGAGAGCUCUCUUUUGCCUUCGUGGUGUGGCUGAAAGGCAGCAGAAGGAGAGAGCUGUAGCUUUUAAUGGAGAAAUAAAGCAGGGAAAAGUAGAAAAAAAAUCUGGACAACAGAAAGAAAUCAAUCCUUUUUGGAUUAAUUGCAAUGAAAUGACCAAUAAGAUUGUUCAUUUUCCAGUGAUUGCAGGGCUAUAAAUUUGAUAGAAUUGUGUAGGAAUUGAUAUUGAAAGAAAAAUUCUGGUGCUACAAACAGCAAUCAGAAAUGAUCUCUGCAAUUUCUAUCUUAACUAUAUAAAGCAAGCAUUGCUUGAACUCACACAAAAUUAAAGCAUAUUAAGAAUACUAAUGGAAGAUUGAACGAUGGGAUAUGUGUAGUGUAGGAUUAGUUUUUGUGAGGCGCUACAGAGAAAACUGACAGGGCAAGUCAAAAAAAUAAUUACAGUCUGAUGUUCAAAGAAAAAUGGUAUCACUCCUAAAACAGAUAAAAUCCAAUCUCUUAUCUUUCUAGAGUUAUGAAAGCUUCAGGAAAAUAAAGAUUUAUUUUAACAUUCUAUCACAAUCUUAUUUACUGCACUUCAACAGGGGAAUAAAAUAAUAUAGCUAAUCGAUGGGAACAGUGUAAAACUAUAGCUUAGGGAAUGUACAUUGCUAAUUUUUAAAUCACGUAAUAAAAGAGUGAAGAGAGAUAACAUCUAAAAUAAUUUCAGGAAGAAAAGAAGUACACUAAAUGAAUAAACAAAAUUUGCACCAAGAAGAAAUCGAAGAGGCAGAAACACCGAACAGAAUCAAAAUAACCCGAAUCGCAGGCAAGUGCCUCGAAAAGAAGUUUUUGGAGUAGAACCGAAAAGUGGAGCAAAUAAAAAUGCAGAAGAGAAAAGUGGUAAAAUAACAAAGUUAAGAAAGAUUUAAAACUUUCCUGUUUGCCAGACCCGUGAGGGGGAAUCUGCAGGACUGAGGUGAGGGAAGGCAAAUCUCUCCGGCGCUGUGCGGCAGGAAAAAGGGAUCGCUUCAGUCCGGGGAAAAUGCCCUGAGCAGGAGAGAUGGGAGGAAAAUGCCCUGAGCAGGAGCGAUGGGGGCAAAAUGCCCUGAGCAGGAGCGAUGGGGGCUUGUUCCUACCGAAGCCGGCGGUGUCCUGUUCAUGGGGCCCCGAGGCCCGGGCAGGUGCUGUCCCUGUCCUGCAGCUCCGCAGCUCCGCGUUCCCGCCGCGCCGCUCCCCGUGCUGAAGGACAGACCCGGUCCCGCCGUCUUCAGGCAGAGGCGACUCCAGCCGAGAUUUUCCUGUCACUCAGGUGGGAAAGGAUAGAUAGCAGGGGAAGGAAAAGGCCUGCUGCUAAAACCCCAUCUGUUCUGCUCUACAGUGCUGGUCUGGGGCUCCUUGCUGCAGGAUUCCCUUCCUGGCAGGCUCGCUCCUCGAACAUCGCUGUAAACGCUGGGAAUCCUCACGAACAGCUCCGCGGCCAUUCCCGGGCCAGGAGAACGGGGAGCUUUUCAUUGAUUAGCUCCACUCCUGUGAGAUAGUUCUGUGGAGUCUAAAUGUCAAAACACCACCGAGGAAAGGCUUUUUUUUU
This is a long non-coding RNA of Hirundo rustica (Barn swallow), 2862 nucleotides long. RefSeq lists it as uncharacterized. The transcript is spliced from 7 exons. Lineage: Eukaryota; Metazoa; Chordata; Aves; Passeriformes; Hirundinidae. The record is from RefSeq and is a predicted model, not a curated record.